RNAcentral lists this ribosomal RNA (377 nucleotides) under uncultured bacterium. Its description in RNAcentral is "bacterial SSU rRNA". It matches the Rfam family "Bacterial small subunit ribosomal RNA", at positions 30 to 407 of the family's 1533-position model. The record is from RNAcentral.
AUUGAACGCUGGCGGCAUGCCUUACACAUGCAAGUCGAACGGCAGCGCGGGGGCAACCCUGGCGGCGAGUGGCGAACGGGUGAGUAAUAUAUCGGAACGUACCCAAGAGUGGGGGAUAACGUAGCGAAAGUUACGCUAAUACCGCAUACGAUCUAAGGAUGAAAGCAGGGGACCGCAAGGCCUUGUGCUCCUGGAGCGGCCGAUAUCUGAUUAGCUAGUUGGUGGGGUAAAGGCCUACCAAGGCAUCGAUCAGUAGCUGGUCUGAGAGGACGACCAGCCACACUGGGACUGAGACACGACCCAGACUCCUACGGGAGGCAGCAGUGGGGAGUUUUGGACAAUGGGGGCAACCCUGAUCCAGCAAUGCCGCGUGAGUG